This 301-nucleotide ribosomal RNA is filed under the name uncultured bacterium. RNAcentral describes it as "partial 16S ribosomal RNA". It matches the Rfam family "Bacterial small subunit ribosomal RNA", at positions 509 to 807 of the family's 1533-position model. The record is from RNAcentral.
CAGUAGCCGCGGUAAUACAGAGGGUGCGAGCGUUAAUCGGAUUUACUGGGCGUAAAGCGUGCGUAGGCGGGUUUUUAAGUCAGGGGUGAAAUCCCGAGGCUCAACCUCGGAACUGCCUUUGAUACUGGAAAUCUUGAGUCCGGGAGAGGUGAGUGGAACUGCGAGUGUAGAGGUGAAAUUCGUAGAUAUUCGCAAGAACACCAGUGGCGAAGGCGGCUCACUGGCCCGGUACUGACGCUGAGGCACGAAAGCGUGGGGAGCAAACAGGAUUAGAUACCCCUGUAGUCCCUGUCUCUUAUAC